This 75-nucleotide antisense RNA is filed under the name Sorangium cellulosum. Its description in RNAcentral is "ASpks TB sRNA". It matches the Rfam family "ASpks TB sRNA". The record is from RNAcentral. Lineage: Bacteria; Pseudomonadati; Myxococcota; Polyangiales; Polyangiaceae.
CUUGAGGGUGCCCAGCCAGAGGGGCCUGUCGUCGCCAUGCUCCUGACCGUACGUGGCCAGCAGCGCCUGGACCUC